GUUAAAGAGUGAUUAUGAAAUCGGCCCUGAUCAUGUCCUGUUCUGAGCUGCCAUUGACAUACAUAAUAUGACGUUACACCACCGUUGCGGCUAAUGUAUUAACUAUUAGCACUAGACCACCGUGGUUUGUUUCAGUAUUAACCCAGAGGAUGUUAGUUUCUGCAUUACCCAGAGGAUGUUAGUUUCUGCAUUACCCAGAGGAUGUUAGUUUCAGCAUUACCCAGAGGAUGUUAGUUUCAGCAUUACCCAGAGGAUGUUAGUUUCAGCGUUAACCCAGAGGAUGUUAGUUUCAGCAUUACCCAGAGGAUGUUAGUUUCAGCAUUACCCAGAGGAUGUUAGUUUCAGCCAUUACCCAGAGGAUGUUAGUUUCAGCGUUAACCCAGAGGAUGUUAGUUUUAGCAUUACCCAGAGGAUGUUAGUUUCAGCACUAACCCAGAAGUUACUGAUUUCAGCACUUACCCAGAGGUGGUUUGUUUUAGCAUUACCCAGAGGAUGUUUGUUUCAGCACUAACCCAGAAGUGCUUGAUUUCAGCACUAACCCAGGGGGUGGUUUGUUUUAGCAUUAACCCAGAGUGUUUUUUUUAGCAUUAACCCAGAGGUUGUUUGUUUCAUCACUAACCCAGAGGUGUUUGGUUUCAGCACUAACCCAGAGGUGGUUUGUUUCUGCACUAACCCAGAGGUGGUUGGUUUCAGCACUAACCCAGAGGUGGUUGGUUUCAGCACUAACCCAGAGGUGGUUGGUUUCUGCACUAACCCAGAGGUGGUUGGUUUCUGCACUAACCCAGAGGUGGUUGGUUUCUGCACUAACCCAGAGGUGGUUUGUUUCUGCACUAAUCCAGAGGUGGUUGGUUUCAGCACUAAUCCAGAGGUGGUUUGUUUCUGCACUAAUCCAGAGGUGGUUUGUUUCUGCACUAACCCAGAGGUGGUUUGUUUCUG
Molecule: long non-coding RNA, 936 nt
Organism: Esox lucius (northern pike)
Lineage: Eukaryota; Metazoa; Chordata; Actinopteri; Esociformes; Esocidae
Source: Ensembl